CCUACGGGUGGCAGCAGUGGGGGAUAUUGCACAAUGGGGGAAACCCUGAUGCAGCAACGCCGCGUGAGUGAAGAAGUGCUUCGGUGUGUAAAGCUCUAUCAGCAGGGAAGAAAAUGACGGUACCUGAUGAAGAAGCCCCGGCUAACUACGUGCCAGCAGCCGCGGUAAUACGUAGGGGGCAAGCGUUAUCCGGAUUUACUGGGUGUAAAGGGGGCGUAGACGGCGAUGCAAGCCUGAAGUGAAAGCCCGGGGCUCAACCCCGGGACUGCUUUGGAAACUGUAUGGCUAGAGUGCUGGAGAGGCAGGCGGAAUUCCUAGUGUAGCGGUGAAAUGCGUAGAUAUUAGGAAGAACACCAGUGGCGAAGGCGGCUUGCUGGACAGCAACUGACGUUGAGGCUCGAAAGCGUGGGGAGCAAACAGGAUUAGAUACCCGUGUAGUC
This 440-nucleotide ribosomal RNA is filed under the name uncultured bacterium. Its description in RNAcentral is "partial 16S ribosomal RNA". It matches the Rfam family "Bacterial small subunit ribosomal RNA", at positions 338 to 795 of the family's 1533-position model. The record is from RNAcentral.